UACAGCGGUCUCAAGCGUUGUUCGGAUUCAUUGGGCGUAAAGGGUGCGUAGGCGGCGCGGUAAGUCGGGUGUGAAAUCUCGGAGCUUAACUCCGAAACUGCAUUCGAUACUGCCGUGCUUGAGGACUGGAGAGGAGACUGGAAUUUACGGUGUAGCGGUGAAAUGCGUAGAUAUCGUAAGGAAGACCAGUGGCGAAGGCGGGUCUCUGGACAGUUCCUGACGCUGAGGCACGAAGGCCAGGGGAGCAAACGGG
Molecule: ribosomal RNA, 253 nt
Filed under: uncultured bacterium
Lineage: Bacteria
Description: partial 16S ribosomal RNA
Rfam family: Bacterial small subunit ribosomal RNA
Source: RNAcentral